CACGUAGGGUGCGAGCGUUGUCCGGAAUUAUUGGGCGUAAAGAGCUCGUAGGCGGUGUGUCGCGUCGGCCGUGAAAACCUGCAGCUUAACUGUGGGCUUGCGGUCGAUACGGGCAUCACUGGAGUUCGGCAGGGGAGACUGGAAUUCCUGGUGUAGCGGUGAAAUGCGCAGAUAUCAGGAGGAACACCGGUGGCGAAGGCGGGUCUCUGGGCAUGACCUGACGCUGAGGAGCGAAAGCAUGGGGAGCGAACAGG
Molecule: ribosomal RNA, 254 nt
Filed under: uncultured bacterium
Lineage: Bacteria
Description: partial 16S ribosomal RNA
Rfam family: Bacterial small subunit ribosomal RNA
Source: RNAcentral